RNAcentral lists this RNase P RNA (392 nucleotides) under Rhodospirillales bacterium RIFCSPLOWO2_12_FULL_67_15. RNAcentral's name for it is "RNase P RNA component class A". It matches the Rfam family "Bacterial RNase P class A". From Rfam's summary of the family: Ribonuclease P (RNase P) is a ubiquitous endoribonuclease, found in archaea, bacteria and eukarya as well as chloroplasts and mitochondria. Its best characterised activity is the generation of mature 5'-ends of tRNAs by cleaving the 5'-leader elements of precursor-tRNAs. Lineage: Bacteria; Pseudomonadati; Pseudomonadota; Alphaproteobacteria; Rhodospirillales. The record is from RNAcentral.
CCAGACGGCCGGAUGGCCGCGCUUCGCCUUCGGGCGGGGCGAGGAAAGUCCGGGCUCCACGGAAGCACGGUGCCGGGUAACGCCCGGCGGGGGCGACCCCAGGGACAGUGCCACAGAAAGCAAACCGCCACCGGGCUUAAGGCCCGGCGGUAAGGGUGAAAGGGUGCGGUAAGAGCGCACCGCGCGCCCGGCGACGGGAGCGGCACGGCAAACCCCACCGGGAGCAAGACCCAAUAGGGACGGCACGCCGGCGCCCGCGCCGGCAGGCGGCUUCCGCGCCGCCGUCCGGGUCGGUCGCGCGAGGCGCCCGGCAACGGGCGUCCCAGAGGAAUGGUCAUCCCCCGUGCUUCGACGCGCGGGGACAGAACCCGGCUUACAGGCCGUCUGGCUCU